This is a long non-coding RNA of Oncorhynchus tshawytscha (Chinook salmon), 459 nucleotides long. NCBI's taxonomy places the organism in Eukaryota, Metazoa, Chordata, Actinopteri, Salmoniformes, Salmonidae. The record is from Ensembl.
GUGAUCGCUGUCCUGAUAUCCAGAAGCUCUUAGUCUAAUCCGAGGUGAGUGAUCGCUGUCCUGAUAUCCAGAAGCUCUUAGUCUAAUCCGAGGUGAGUGAUCGCUGUCCUGAUAUCCAGAAGCUCUUAGUCUAAUCCGAGGUGAGGGAUCGCUGUCCUGAUAUCCAGAAGCUCUUUGUCUACUCCGAGGUGAGUGAUCGCUGUCCUGAUAUCCAGAAGCUCUUUGUCUAAUCCGAGGUGAGUGAUCGCUGUCCUGAUAUCCAGAAGCUCUUUGUCUAAUCCGAGGUGAGUGAUCGCUGUCCUGAUAUCCAGAAGCUCUUAGUCUAAUCCGAGGUGAGGGAUCGCUGUCCUGAUAUCCGGAAGCUCUUUGUCUAAUCCGAGGUGAGGGAUCGCUGUCCUGAUAUGCAGAAGCUCUUAGUAUAAUUCCACCGCCCCCUUCCACCGCCCCCUUCCACCGCUC